CGGGGUGAUCUCGGGUUACGCAGAAUGGUAAGGAGAUUCUGCUCAACGUGUGGCACCUGUCGUGUUAUUCGCGAAAUUACAAACCGAGUGAUUUGGUUUUAUUUGAAAGUUCACAUUCGGGUAAAAGAUGAAGGUAUUAUGAUUACAACAACUGGAACAUGUUCGUCGUCACAUGUGAAACAAAUAUUCCAAAAAGUUUAUUUUUCAAUUAGUGCGAGGUAGAUCU
RNAcentral lists this long non-coding RNA (226 nucleotides) under Mytilus galloprovincialis (Mediterranean mussel). The record is from RNAcentral. Lineage: Eukaryota; Metazoa; Mollusca; Bivalvia; Mytilida; Mytilidae.